CAGCAGCCACGGUAAUACGAAGGGGGCUAGCGUUGUUCGGAAUUACUGGGCGUAAAGCGCACGUAGGCGGAUAUUUAAGUCAGGGGUGAAAUCCCGCAGCUCAACUGCGGAACUGCCUUUGAUACUGGGUAUCUUGAGUAUGGAAGAGGUUAGUGGAAUUGCGAGUGUAGAGGUGAAAUUCGUAGAUAUUCGCAGGAACACCAGUGGCGAAGGCGGCUAACUGGUCCAUAACUGACGCUGAGGUGCGAAAGCGUGGGGAGCAAACAGGAUUAGAUACCCCAGUAGUCCCUGUCUCUUAUAC
Molecule: ribosomal RNA, 301 nt
Filed under: uncultured bacterium
Lineage: Bacteria
Description: partial 16S ribosomal RNA
Rfam family: Bacterial small subunit ribosomal RNA
Source: RNAcentral